UGGGUUUUGGGGGGUUUUGGGGCGGGAGGAGCACAAUUGGGUGGUUUUGGGCUGGAAAGGAGUGAAUUUGGGUGGUUUUGGGUAGAAAUGAGAACAUUUUGGGUUGGUUUUGGGUAAGAUAACUGCCGUUGGGUCAUUUUUGGGGUGGAGAAGAGCACAUUUGGGUUGGUUUUGGGAUGCAAAUGAUCACAUUUGGGUUGGUUUUGGGUAGAGAUGAGCACAUUUGGGUUGGUUUUGGGUCGAGAACAGCACGUUUUGGUUGGUUUUGGGUAGAGAAGAGCACAUUUGGGUUGGUUUUGGGUGCGAUAACUGCCGUUGGGUCAUUUUUGGGGCGAAGAAGAGCACAUUUGGGUUGAUUCUGGGUAGAGAUGAAUGAAUUUGGGUUUGUUUUGGGUAGAGAAAAGCACAUUUUGGUUGGUUUUGGGUGCAAUAAUCGCUGUUUUGUUGUUUUUGGGGUAGAGAUGAGCAUAUUUGGGUUGGUUUUGGGUAGAGAAAAGCACAUUUUUUUUAGUUUUGGGUAGAGAAGAGCACAUUUGGGUUAGUUUUGGGUAGAGAAGAGCACAUUUUGGGUUUUUUGGUGCGAUAACUGCCGUUGGGUCAUUUUUGGGGUGG
Molecule: long non-coding RNA, 612 nt
Filed under: Anas platyrhynchos platyrhynchos (common mallard)
Lineage: Eukaryota; Metazoa; Chordata; Aves; Anseriformes; Anatidae
Description: lncRNA (ENSAPLG00000026424.1)
Source: RNAcentral